UUAGGUAGGAGGGUGCUCAAGACACCCAAAGUAUUCUGGAAGCAAGCACCCUCUGCGGCCCUGUGCUUUGUCAGAGCAGCUGGGCUAGCAGUCAGGAGGUCAGCGAAAGGCACUGAAGAUUCUGUUAUCCAAUUUUAACCAAGUGGAAGUAUCAGAAUGGAAAAGUGGCUUACAGGGAUUUCUGCAGAGAAGACAAUACUAGCAAUACAAGUGUAAGCAACAACAGGAAAUUGAUGGAGUUGACACAUUUCCUACUGUAUUCUUAGCCUAAUGGAAGAGGUUAACAACAGUGAUGAUCUAUCUAAUUCAGACUUACAAGAAAUCAGCUCCUCCCUUCCAUUGAGAUAUAGGCUUACAUUUACUUUUAUUAAUGAUGAACCUUGCCUUGAAUAUAUUUAUUGUAUUUUGAGAUGUAGGCCAAUGCCAAUGAUAAUAUGAAGCAUUGUGGCAAGCAAAAUAUUAAUAAAUAUAUGUUUCAUCAUUAAAUGAUUUUUCAAAUUAA
Macaca mulatta (Rhesus monkey) is the source of this 502-nucleotide non-coding RNA. The record is from RefSeq and is a predicted model, not a curated record. Lineage: Eukaryota; Metazoa; Chordata; Mammalia; Primates; Cercopithecidae.